Molecule: ribosomal RNA, 458 nt
Filed under: uncultured bacterium
Lineage: Bacteria
Description: partial 16S ribosomal RNA
Rfam family: Bacterial small subunit ribosomal RNA
Source: RNAcentral
CCUACGGGUGACAGCAGUGAGGAAUAUUGGUCAAUGGGCGAGAGCCUGAACCAGCCAAGUCGCGUGAGGGAGUACUGCCCUAUGGGUUGUAAACCUCUUUUGUCGGGGAGCAAAAGCCGGACGUGUCCGGCUGUGAGAUUACCCGAAGAAAAAGCAUCGGCUAACUCCGUGCCAGCAGCCGCGGUAAUACGGGGGAUGCGAGCGUUAUCCGGAUUUAUUGGGUUUAAGGGGUGCUCAGGCGGAUUUUUAAGUCAGCGGUAAAAUCGUGGGGCUCAACCCCAUCCAGCCGUUGAAACUGGGGAUCUAGAGUGUGCGAGAGGUAUGCGGAAUGCGUGGUGUAGCGGUGAAAUGCAUAGAUAUCACGCAGAACCCCGAUUGCGAAGGCAGCAUACCGGUGCACAACUGACGCUCAGGCACGAAAGCGUGGGUAUCGAACAGGAUUAGAUACCCGAGUAGUC